GUUUCAGGGCGGGGUGCAAUUCCCCACCGGCGGUAAACGUGCCUUGUGGCCGUAAGCCCGCGACCGGCUGCCAACGCAGCCGCUGAUCCGGUGAGAAUCCGGGGCCGACGGUAUAGUCCGGAUGAAAGAAA
RNAcentral lists this non-coding RNA (131 nucleotides) under uncultured Gemmiger sp. Its description in RNAcentral is "FMN riboswitch (RFN element)". It matches the Rfam family "FMN riboswitch aptamer (RFN element)". From Rfam's summary of the family: The RFN element is a highly conserved domain that is found frequently in the 5'-untranslated regions of prokaryotic mRNAs that encode for flavin mononucleotide (FMN) biosynthesis and transport proteins. This element is a metabolite-dependent riboswitch that directly binds FMN in the absence of proteins. The record is from RNAcentral. Lineage: Bacteria; Bacillati; Bacillota; Clostridia; Eubacteriales; Oscillospiraceae.